This is a long non-coding RNA of Bos taurus (domestic cattle), 786 nucleotides long. NCBI's taxonomy places the organism in Eukaryota, Metazoa, Chordata, Mammalia, Artiodactyla, Bovidae. The record is from Ensembl.
GGUAUGAACAAGGCAAAUGCUCCCAAGUUCUGGGGUAGUCUCUGGUUUGGUUUUGUUAGAACAGCACAGUAGGGGGUUCUCUGCUGUUCCAUUUGGAUCUGUUGUUCAACCCUUCCCCUUACCUGCUGAAGAUCCCAAUAAUGGUUCAAUCUGCUCUACAAUCAUUCCUGCCUAGCUGCAGGUUUUGAGGUUUAAGUCCAUUAAUUAGUCCAUAAUUGAUUCUAAUCUAGGGGAUGCCACUGAGUCCGCUGGAUCCAGGGCAGGAGCCACAGCAUCAGAGCAGGAGGGAAGAGUACACCCUGUGACCAGGAAUUAAGCCACCUUCCUCCUGGAAGCCACACCCUCCUGGCCAGGUGAACACAUGCCAGAAGUCUCCAUAAAUGUUUGCUGGAUGUACCAAAUGAAGAGAGCUUAUGACAGAAGGAAACGUUUGAAGCAAGGAAAGAGAAAAAGAGGAGAAAAACACUUCAUCCAAAAUUGCAAAUCAGAGAAAUGGCCACAGACUUGUUUUGUGUCAUCCGUUUGGUGUUUGCAUCAGUCAUGGGAGAAGGCAAGGAUGGAAUCCUCUUCCUGAUUGCUGUCCCUUUGGGUUUCCUGCCCAGAAAAAAGUGGUGCAGGAUGAAGGGAAGGCUAUUAGAAACCACAAAGAAGAAAAAUCAACUUGUGUAUUGGCUAGCCUGAAUUACCAGGGUAUAUAUUCCGAACUUUAUUCCAUAGUAACUGCAGAGCCCUAGAGGAUAUCUGGAUAUCAAAAAGUGUAAUAAGCCCCACCCCCUAAUGCAUCUC